Molecule: long non-coding RNA, 426 nt
Organism: Mus musculus (house mouse)
Lineage: Eukaryota; Metazoa; Chordata; Mammalia; Rodentia; Muridae
Product: predicted gene, 32334
Exons: 3
Source: RefSeq, a predicted model, not a curated record
AUCAUCAUCUCAGCCACUGUGAGAGAACAGAACCUUCAACCUGUGGAGACCAGAACCGAGGAGACAGGAAGCCGAUACCACAUAACACUUGUGCUCCCAAGGACCCAGACAAAGGCAUGCCUUUGGGAAGCCACCAUUCCCCAUGACAGUGGGACGGCCCUGUGAGUCUGGGACCUGGAGCUGAGUGUCCCACUUAGGAGACAAAGACCCGGACAAGAUUAUCAGGUACUGUGUGCACAGGGUGGUGUGCACAAUCCUCACAGGGGAGAGAGGAGGACGCCAGCACACAGCUGUACUUCCAGGUGGUUGCCCAGAGCCCUGGUCCCCAGCGGACAUCACCUCGAAUGCAUGCAAGGUUCUGUCGAGUGGACUUGGCAUGCUGAUGGCUUCCCUCAUUUGCUUCUCAGGUGACUUCCACUUCUCCUU